GGAAGAGAGAAUUUGAGAGCGAACAAGAGAUGAAUGGCUCGAUUUCUGUCUGUAUUUUGCUUUCCCUUUUGAUUCUUUCUCCGGCUUCGUCUUUGGCUGGAAUCUUCGAUCAUCCUCGUCUUCCGCUUUCCAAUUUUCCGUCCACCCAGCCCGAGAAGCUGAUCAGGCAACUCAAUCUGUUUCCUAAAUCUGAUGCCAAUAUCAUCCAUAGGAAUUUCGAAAAUUCCUCUCUGAUCGCCGUCGGAGGGAAGAAAAUCGUUGAGAGGCGGUUGAGAUUCCCUAUCUUUGAUGAUUCUGGGGUUUCUUUGGAGGAAUUGGGCCACCAUGCUGGAUAUUACAAAAUCGAGCAUUCUCAUGCUGCUAGGUUGUUCUACUUUUUCUUUGAGUCCCGCAACAGCAAAACAGAUCCUGUCGUUAUCUGGUUAACUGGAGGCCCAGGAUGCAGUAGUGAAUUGGCUAUGUUUUACGAAAACGGUCCUUUUAAAAUUACUAAUAACUUGUCACUUGUUUGGAAUGAAU
RNAcentral lists this unclassified non-coding RNA (519 nucleotides) under Hevea brasiliensis (rubber tree). Lineage: Eukaryota; Viridiplantae; Streptophyta; Magnoliopsida; Malpighiales; Euphorbiaceae. The record is from RNAcentral.